Molecule: ribosomal RNA, 582 nt
Filed under: uncultured bacterium
Lineage: Bacteria
Description: partial 16S ribosomal RNA
Rfam family: Bacterial small subunit ribosomal RNA
Source: RNAcentral
UGGGGAAUUUUGGACAAUGGGCGAAAGCCUGAUCCAGCAAUGCCGCGUGUGUGAAGAAGGCCUUCGGGUUGUAAAGCACUUUUGUCCGGAAAGAAAUCCUUGGCUCUAAUACAGUCGGGGGAUGACGGUACCGGAAGAAUAAGCACCGGCUAACUACGUGCCAGCAGCCGCGGUAAUACGUAGGGUGCAAGCGUUAAUCGGAAUUACUGGGCGUAAAGCGUGCGCAGGCGGUUUGCUAAGACCGAUGUAAAAUCCCCGGGCUCAACCUGGGAACUGCAUUGGUGACUGGCAGGCUAGAGUAUGGCAGAGGGGGGUAGAAUUCCACGUGUAGCAGUGAAAUGCGUAGAGAUGUGGAGGAAUACCGAUGGCGAGGCGAGCCCCUGGCAAUACUGACGCUCAUGCACGAAAGCGUGGGGAGCAAACAGGAUUAGAUACCCUGGUAGUCCACGCCCUAAACGAUGUCAACUAGUUGUUGGGGAUUCAUUUCCUUAGUAACGUAGCUAACGCGUGAAGUUGACCGCCUGGGGAGUACGGUCGCAAGAUUAAAACUUAAAUGAAUUGACGGGGUCAUAGCUGUUUCCU